UACAGAGACGGCAAGCGUUGCUCGGAUUCAUUGGGCGUAAAGGGUGCGUAGGCGGUCGGCUAAGUCGGAUGUGAAAUUUCCGGGCCCAACCCGGAACGGUCAUUCGAAACUAGUCGGCUCGAGGGCUGGAGAGGAGACUGGAAUGGUCGGUGUAGCGGUGAAAUGCGUAGAGAUCGACCAGAACACCUGUGGCGAAGGCGGGUCUCUGGACAGUUCCUGACGCUGAGGCACGAAAGCCAGGGGAGCAAACGGG
This 253-nucleotide ribosomal RNA is filed under the name uncultured bacterium. Its description in RNAcentral is "partial 16S ribosomal RNA". It matches the Rfam family "Bacterial small subunit ribosomal RNA", at positions 524 to 776 of the family's 1533-position model. The record is from RNAcentral.